This 180-nucleotide non-coding RNA is filed under the name Nitrospina gracilis. Lineage: Bacteria; Pseudomonadati; Nitrospinota; Nitrospinia; Nitrospinales; Nitrospinaceae. The record is from RNAcentral.
AUAGUUAAAUUCAUUUCCCCUUCAACCAAUUUCUCUGUCAGGGAAGCCCGGUGCGAAUCCGGCACUGUCCCGCAACUGUAAUGGGAGAAGACGCCGCAAGAAGCCACUGUCUUUUGGGAUGGGAAGGCGCGGCGGUUUGACACCCUGAGUCAGGAUAUCUGGCCGAGAAAUGCAUUCGUC